UACGAAGGGGGCUAGCGUUGCUCGGAAUUACUGGGCGUAAAGCGCACGUAGGCGGAUUGUUAAGUCGGGGGUGAAAUCCUGGAGCUCAACUCCAGAACUGCCUUCGAUACUGGCGAUCUCGAGUUCGGGAGAGGUGAGUGGAACUGCGAGUGUAGAGGUGAAAUUCGUAGAUAUUCGCAAGAACACCAGUGGCGAAGGCGGCUCACUGGCCCGAUACUGACACUGAGGUGCGAAAGCGUGGGGAGCAAACAGG
This 253-nucleotide ribosomal RNA is filed under the name uncultured bacterium. RNAcentral's name for it is "partial 16S ribosomal RNA". It matches the Rfam family "Bacterial small subunit ribosomal RNA", at positions 524 to 776 of the family's 1533-position model. The record is from RNAcentral.